Molecule: long non-coding RNA, 782 nt
Organism: Uranotaenia lowii
Lineage: Eukaryota; Metazoa; Arthropoda; Insecta; Diptera; Culicidae
Exons: 3
Source: RefSeq, a predicted model, not a curated record
UUCGAUUCUGUAUAAAAAGUUGUUGUUGUUGGAAAGCUUUCGAACAGGGAUGUCAAAGCGUAGAAGUUUAUCAAAUUCGCUACGUUUUUUUUCAAUUCCGCUUCCAUUUUUAGGCAAAUCAUCAAAAAUGUCUUACAAAAGGUAUCUAUUCUCAAAAUUUCGCUUCGUUAUAUGACCUUAUUAUGUUAUUACAGGGAUAUUGUUCGUACAAUUGCUGCAUUCAGGUGAUUCACAUAAUCAGCAUUUAUCACAGCCGGAAGAAGCCAUCGAUUCUGUUCGAAAAGGGCUAAAGCCUGAAAAAUGAUUAACAACAUGUUGCAGUAGCAGUGAUGGUUUAUCGUUAACGCCUCGUAGGCUGUUCCUGAAAGUUGAACGAAUGCAUCGGAAGGUCCGAGGUAUAGUCAACAUUUUUAUUUGCACUUGAGAGCUUGACGGCUUAAUUUACUCUGAUAAAAAUGAAGCUCUUAAGGACAGUAGACGAUUUUUCUUCAAAGCCCGUAUCGGACAGGAUGUUCAGCAGAAGAUGCGCCGCAGGCAUACACUUUUUUAUAUGUUCCUCGAACAUAAUACAUCACAACGAGCAGCAACGUGGUCGCUACCGCCAAAGUAUUAGUCAAAGAAUAUAAGGGAAAAUCUCUUCAAAAAUCCAGCUAUCCGGAAGACAGCUGGAGCUUGAAACCAAAGGAUUGAUUUAUCCACCGGCAUAAUGGAACAGGUACACCCAUCCGAAAUCACUUCAGUGUGUCAAUCGAGAGAUUGCCAGUAGAACCUGUUGAAUGCCA